UACAGAGGGUGCAAGCGUUGCUCGGAUUUACUGGGCGUAAAGCGUACGCAGACGGUGAGAAAGGUCGGAUGUGAAAGCCCCGGGCUCAACCCGGGAACUGCAUCCGAAACCAUCUCGCUCGAGUGUGGGAGAGGGAAGCGGAAUUCCUGGUGUAGAGGUGAAAUUCGUAGAUAUCAGGAGGAACACCGGCGGCGAAGUCGGCUUCCUGGCCCAUUACUGACGUUCAGGUACGAAAGCGUGGGUAGCAAACAGG
Molecule: ribosomal RNA, 253 nt
Filed under: uncultured bacterium
Lineage: Bacteria
Description: partial 16S ribosomal RNA
Rfam family: Bacterial small subunit ribosomal RNA
Source: RNAcentral